Molecule: long non-coding RNA, 1470 nt
Filed under: Chrysemys picta bellii (western painted turtle)
Lineage: Eukaryota; Metazoa; Chordata; Testudines; Emydidae
Description: lncRNA (ENSCPBG00000001802.1)
Source: RNAcentral
AGAAGCAUUUUACACCAAUAUUCCACAUGAGGAUGGACUACAAGCUGUCAGGAACAGUAUCCCUGAUGAGGCCACAGCAUGCCUGGUGGCUGAGCUUUGUGACUUUGUCCUCACCCACAACCACUUCAGAUUUGGGGACAACUUAUAACUUCAAGUCAGUGGCACUGCUAUGGAUACCCGCAUGGCCCCACAGUAUGCCAACAUUUUUAUGGCUGACUUAGAACAACGCUUCCUCAGCUCUCGUCCCCUAGUGCCCCUCCUCUACUUGCGCUACACUGAUGACAUCUUCAUCAUAUGGACCCACGGAAAGGAGGCCCUUGAAGAAUUUCACCUGGACUUCAACAAUUUCCAUUCCACCAUCAACCUCAGCCUGGACCAGUCCACACAAGAGAUCCACUUCCUGGACACUACAGUGCAAAUAAGUGAUGGUCACAUAAACACCACCCUAUACCGGAAACCUACUGACCGCUAUACGUAUCUACAUGCCUCCAGCUUCCAUCCAAGACACAUCACACAAUUCAUUGUCUACAGCCAAGCCCUAAGAUACAACCGAAUUUGCUCCAACCCCUCAGACAGAGACAAACACCUGCAAGAUCUUUAUCAAACUUUCGUAAAUCUACAAUACCCACCUGGGGAAGUGAGGAAACAGAUUGAUAGAGCAAGACGGGUACCCAGAAAUCACCUACUACAGGACAGGCCCAACAAGGACAAUAACAGAACACCACUGGCCAUCACAUACAGCCCCCAGCUAAAACCUCUCCAGAGCAUUAUCCACGAUCUACAACCUAUCCUGGAAAAUGAUCCCUCACUCUCACAGACCUUGGGAAGCAGGCCAGUCCUCGCUUACAGACAACCCCCCAACCUGAAGCAAAUACUCACCAGCAACUACACACCACGCCACAGAAACACCAACCCAGGAACCAAUCCCUGUAGCAAACCUCGUUGCCUACUCUGUCCCCAUAUCUACUCUGGCGACACCAUCAGAGGACCCAACCACAACAGCCACACCAUCAAGGGCUCAUUCAUCUGCACAUCCACUAAUGUUAUAUAUGCCAUCAUGUGCCAGCAAUGCCCCUCUGCCAUGUACAUUGGCCAAACCAGACAGUCCCUCCGCAAAAGAAUAAAUGAACACAAAUCGGACAUCAGGAAUGGUAACAUACAUAAGCCAGUAAGUGAACACUUCAAUCUCCCUGUAAUUCUAUUACAGAUUUAAAAGUCACUAUCGUUGAACAAAAAAACUUCAGAAACAGACUUCAAAGAGAAACAGCAGAACUAAAAUUCAUUUGCAAAUUUAACACCAUUAAUCUGGGCUUGAAUAGGGACUGGGAAUGGCUGGCUCAUUACAGAAGCAGCUUUUCCUCUCCUGGAAUUGACACCUCCUCAUCUAUUAUUGGGAGUGGACUACAUCCACCCUGAUUGAAUUGGCCCUGUCAACACUGGUUCUCCACUUGCGAAGUAACUUCCCGCUCU